UACGGAGGGUGCGAGCGUUGUCCGGAAUCACUGGGCGUAAAGGGCGCGUAGGCGGCGCGGGGAGUCAACGGUGAAAGCUCGGCGCUCAACGCCGAGUCGGCCGUCGAUACUCCCGUGCUCGAGCACUGUAGAGGCUAAUGGAAUUCCGGGUGUAGCGGUGGAAUGCGUAGAGAUCCGGAAGAACACCGGUGGCGAAGGCGGUUAGCUGGGCAGUUGCUGGCACUGAGGCGCGACAGCGUGGGGAGCAAACAGG
RNAcentral lists this ribosomal RNA (253 nucleotides) under uncultured bacterium. RNAcentral describes it as "partial 16S ribosomal RNA". It matches the Rfam family "Bacterial small subunit ribosomal RNA", at positions 524 to 776 of the family's 1533-position model. The record is from RNAcentral.